This is a non-coding RNA of Pelobates cultripes (western spadefoot toad), 225 nucleotides long. Lineage: Eukaryota; Metazoa; Chordata; Amphibia; Anura; Pelobatidae. The record is from the annotation of a GenBank genome assembly.
GUGUGUCAGUAUAUCUGUUAAUGUAUGUGUCUGUGUAUGUAUGUAUGUAUGUAUGUAUGUAUGUCUGUGUGUGUGUCAGUAUGUCUGCCAGUAUAUAUUUGUGUGUAGUGACUGUGUGUGUCAGUAUGUAUCUGUGAAUGUUUUAAUGUCUGUCUGUGUGUGUAUGUGCCAGUACAUCUGUCAGUGUGAUUGCGGGUUGGACGUAAUUGGGGGGUGAGGCAGCGG